Molecule: ribosomal RNA, 253 nt
Filed under: uncultured bacterium
Lineage: Bacteria
Description: partial 16S ribosomal RNA
Rfam family: Bacterial small subunit ribosomal RNA
Source: RNAcentral
UACGUAGGGAGCGAGCGUUGUUCGGAAUUACUGGGCGUAAAGCGCACGUAGGCGGCUUUGUAAGUUAGAGGUGAAAGCCUGGGGCUCAACUCCAGAACUGCCUUUAAAACUGCAUCGCUUGAAUCCAGGAGAGGUGAGUGGAAUUCCGAGUGUAGAGGUGAAAUUCGUAGAUAUUCGGAAGAACACCAGUGGCGAAGGCGGCUCACUGGACUGGUAUUGACGCUGAGAUGCGAAAGCGUGGGGAGCAAACAGG